Molecule: non-coding RNA, 1190 nt
Organism: Lactuca sativa (garden lettuce)
Lineage: Eukaryota; Viridiplantae; Streptophyta; Magnoliopsida; Asterales; Asteraceae
Source: RefSeq, a predicted model, not a curated record
CCAAUGUUUCUUUGAUUUCUGCCUCUUGACGAGGUCCUCAUUCCUUAUCCCCCAACAACCCCUCCACUAUAUCACUAUUUCUUUCGCUCGGUGAUGCCAUACAUUUGUUCAUCUUCUUCACAAUUUAUAUCACCCUCUCCUUAUCUCAUUCGUUGAAUACCUUCCACCUUCAACCACCUACUUCCCCCACCGUCUCCACCGCAUUCUUUUCAAACCAUACUCCUCUUUAUGCCGUCGAUUUUUCUGACUCGAUCUUAGAUUGGUUGGGUGAUACAAACAACAGUGCAGUCGUGAGGCUCGGGUUAGCAUGAAUCAUCGAACCCCCACCACAAGGCCAAGUGAUAAACACAUCAGGGCUGCUCUAAUUUGAUGAAGAUUGAAAAAAAAUGGUCUAUUCUCACAAUCGAGCCCUAAAUCUAUAUGGAUUCAAGCUUAUGUUUUUAUUUUGUCAUUCUCUAAUUCACUCUCAUAUAAUGUUGUCGAUCAUUAGGGUUUAUAUCGCCUCCCUCCUGGAUUAUAGCAAGGUGGAAGUCAUAGCACUCCAUCCAAAGAUGGAUAAAGGUAAGUUACUACUUCUAAUGCAUUUUAUUUGAUAGGUUUUUCUAUAGUUUCUACUUUCUACUAUCCCUACCUAACCAUGAGUAUAGGUCUGUGCAAUGAUUUCACCAAAUUGAUAUUAUCAACAAGGGUACCUAUGUGUUUUUGGAAUUGUAUGUAUGUUAUUAGUGAAAAACUAUCAAGGAACAAAUGAAAUUUUUUUUGUUAUCAUUUUCAUAUUUUCAGAAAGUAACUUAGGUCAUGAUUGGUUGCCUUGGGGAUUUUAUUCUGAUAGUUGGAAUUUGAAUUCCUUCUGUGAUUUUGACUAUUUUACCCCUAUUGAUUAUUGUUGCUUGGUUGCCGCCCUUAUAUUUUUUUUUUGCCCUUGGUUAUUUUUUAGACUAACAUUAAAGAUGGUGGACAUGGUAGAGCUCAUUGUUGUCAUAAUUUUAGGGUAUGUUUUAAUUUGGUCCAUUUUGCCCCUUGUUUUUUCUUUGGUUUUGAAGUUAAAUAGGAGAACAUAUUGAACCAGGUCAAUCUUGAUUUUCAUAGUAAAUAGUGGUUUUGCAUAAUAAAUAAUAAGUAUGACUUCAAGUUCUGCUAAUAAGCCCAAAAUAGACUUCAAAUUCCAAAAUCACCACGUUAGAUAUAUA